AGAAACAGAAGAGGUGCGUUGCCCAGGUAAGCCGGAGCAGGAGAGCGAACUCCGCCAAUGCCGGCCCAGGGGGAGCAACGCCGAGAUGGUGAACCGUUCGACUCGGAACACCGUCGGCCACCGGGGCUGAAUCUCCGGGGCUGUCACCAUUGGAUGUAGGUGGAGAGCUUCUGGAAGA
RNAcentral lists this non-coding RNA (178 nucleotides) under Ferrimonas balearica. RNAcentral's name for it is "Lysine sequence". It matches the Rfam family "Lysine riboswitch aptamer". From Rfam's summary of the family: Riboswitches are metabolite binding domains within certain messenger RNAs that serve as precision sensors for their corresponding targets. Allosteric rearrangement of mRNA structure is mediated by ligand binding, and this results in modulation of gene expression. The record is from RNAcentral. RNAcentral also lists the same sequence under 1 other name. Lineage: Bacteria; Pseudomonadati; Pseudomonadota; Gammaproteobacteria; Alteromonadales; Ferrimonadaceae.